AACAACUUUCAUUUUUUAUAUUUAUAUAUACAUCACAAGAAACCUUCUUUUUGAAACAAUCUCACAUCCUAGUUAAUAAACUCCCCCAAGAAUUUAGUCAUGCACUUUAUUGCAUUGUGAAGUGUAACCUCGAUCUUGACCCUUUUAGAGGGCUCUCCCAAUAAGUUCAACCUGACACCAAGCAUGUAAUUUCAUUGUACAUUAAAAUUCCAAAAACAACAAGAAGCAAAGCCAUGGAAACUAUAUUUUUUCACUUCACUGGUGCCUAAGCCCCAAGAAGAUGGGCCAAUAAAGGGAUGCUUACUCUUUUCCUCAAGGGCUCAUGUAUAUUAAUUAUGAAUUUUUUUUAGAAUUUUAAUGCUAACGUGCUGAUGCAAACUUUCUUCAAUAUUAGAUUUUUUUGUGAAUUUUCUUCAUUUUUGUAUAUAGGUUGUGCACAAUUUCUAUAUGCUUCUGCAAAAUAUGUAAUCCUUAUCUCUUGAAACCGAAACAAAAGUAUUCCUUUUUUUAAUAGUUUAUUCUAAUGCAGCGCUUGUGUUUUCUUCCGGCUCGAAUUUAGUCAGCACAACUAAUUGAAUUGGCUUUAAUCAUAUAUAGUAUAUGUUUGCAAUGUCCUGAUCGAUAUAGAAAAAGGUAUUUUUAAAGCAAGUGAGUUAUAAGCUAGUGUAGAACUUCAGCAUAUGCAACGUAAGAUUUUUGUUAUCAGCAAUUCAAUCAUAUAGUACAUGCUGCAUGUAUUUUAAGUGAAAUAUUUCAAACGAAUUUGCUGUUUGAUAUGUUAUUAGCUUAUAUCACACUUUGUUCAUUUUUGGCAUUUUAGAUUUAUCUCUAGUUUUUUUACCCAAGUUUUACACUCAUAUUGAAAUUUGCAUGGUACCCUUUUUGCAUUCUUGCCACAUUUGUCCAAUAUGUAACUUUAGUACAGCCGUUUGCAAGUAUGUGGACGCACCAUAUUUUAAUAUGCCAUAAAACAGCAUACAUGGUGGAGGGAUAAGGGGUCGAACCCCCAAUUUUAAAAUUGAUCAAAUUUUGAAAAGUUUGCCCUUGCAAAAUUCAUAUGAGGGGGUAUUGACAAUUGCGGUCUGCCACUGUGGUUUGUUAUAUAUGUGCAUAGAGUAAGGCGUUGGGGACAUAUACAUGUAUUCUAGAAUGUUAUGUAAUUGUCACUAGCAGAAACAGCUCUAUGGGGUGUUUAAAUGCAAUAGAACUAAUAGUUAGUUGGCUAAAAAUUGUUAGUGAAAUUAUCUAGCUAACAAAAAACUAUCCAACUAUUAACUAAUUUACCAAAAAAUAGUUAAUAGCUGAACUAUUAGCCAUGGUAGCCGCUAAUUAUUAGCUCUAGUUCAUUCAAACACCCGCUAUGUCUACGAUGAGAUCUAAUUUUUACAGACGGUUUCAAUUAUUAAGAAAUCUGCAUGUAGAAAUUAUAUUUCUACUGACGGUACCUUAUUAAGAAAACCACCAAUACAAAUCCAUGAAUUCUACAGACGGAUUUCUUAAGGAACCGCAUGUAGAAAUCGAUUUCUACAGGAACCGCCAAUAAAACUAGAAGUAUCACCGGUGUUUGAUAACUAAAAUCGUCUAUAAAAAUUGGGCCUCAUAGUAGGCGUAGAGCUGUUUUUGAUCCAGCUUCUAGUUUUCGAUAGUUAGUUUCACUUUUUAAGAAAAAAACAUAAGAACAGCACGUAUUUUCUUUAAUUUGUACUGUACUUUUGUCACAUAUGUCCUUUACUUAAGUUAAUUAAGUGGAUCCUGGCAAGAAUAUAACUUAUCAAUAUAUAAAUUGUUCAUUUUUUCAUUAAAAUAGAAGAUUGUACGAACUUAGUAUUUAUAAAAAAUGGUAUAGACGGUGUUGGGGACGUAAACAAAUAUUUCAGAGUGGUGUGUGAUUAUUCUCUCACCCUUUUAUUUUGCAUAUUGAGGAUAUUGCAAGUGUAGCUUUGACAUUUAAUUCUUCCAUGGAUAAUUUUGUGUUAAUAAGAAAAUGCAUAUUUAAUAUAAUAAUCCACUAAAAAUAAAUAGAUUUAGGCAUUCCAUGUUACAUUUAGAAAAGAAAAAAAAACUAGCAUUUACAGAGAAGGCAUAUUUUAAUUUCCCUGAUAACAGUAUUUAAAACUAUACUGGAAUGUGUAACAUGUGCGGUUAUUAGUUUGCCCAACCAAAUCCAAAAAAAGGGAAUGCAUAUUAGAGAUUUAUAAUUGCUUUUAAUCCACUGAUGUUAGCUAAAAAAACAGAAACAAAGUAAAGUUUAUUAUAUUAGAACGAAAAUCACCACAGAUUAUGUUGUUUCUCACCAUUCCUUUUGAUCUAAAUGGCAGGCCGAGAGCUCAUACCAUAUGAGAGCCCAAGCCCCACCAUGGGCAUCCACCGUCUUGUGUUGGUGCUCUACCAGCAAUUGGGGCGGGGCACGGUGUUUGCGCCGCAAGUUCGUCAGAACUUCAACUUGC
Molecule: long non-coding RNA, 2447 nt
Filed under: Zea mays
Lineage: Eukaryota; Viridiplantae; Streptophyta; Magnoliopsida; Poales; Poaceae
Description: long non-coding RNA (ZMAY_LNC005446)
Source: RNAcentral